ACCUGGCUGGCUCAGUUGGUACAGCAUGUGACUCUUGAUCUUGGGGUUAUGAGUUCAAGCCCUAUGUUGGGUG
Molecule: non-coding RNA, 73 nt
Organism: Canis lupus familiaris (dog)
Lineage: Eukaryota; Metazoa; Chordata; Mammalia; Carnivora; Canidae
Source: Rfam